RNAcentral lists this ribosomal RNA (253 nucleotides) under uncultured bacterium. RNAcentral describes it as "partial 16S ribosomal RNA". It matches the Rfam family "Bacterial small subunit ribosomal RNA", at positions 524 to 776 of the family's 1533-position model. The record is from RNAcentral.
UACGCAGGGGGCUAGCGUUGUUCGGAAUUACUGGGCGUAACGCGCACGUAGGAGGAUCCUUAAGUCGGAGGUGAAAUCGCGGAGCUCAAAUCCGGAACUGCCUUCGAUACUGGGGAUCUUGAGUUCGAGAGAGGUGAGUGUAAUUCCGAGUGUAGAGGUGAAAUUCGUAGAUAUUCGGAGGAACACCAGUUGCGAAGGCGGCUCACUGGCUCGAUACUGACGCUGAGGUGCGAAAGCGUGGGGAGCAAACAGG